RNAcentral lists this ribosomal RNA (253 nucleotides) under uncultured bacterium. Its description in RNAcentral is "partial 16S ribosomal RNA". It matches the Rfam family "Bacterial small subunit ribosomal RNA", at positions 524 to 776 of the family's 1533-position model. The record is from RNAcentral.
UACGUAGGGUCCGAGCGUUGUCCGGAAUUACUGGGCGUAAAGAGCUCGUAGGUGGUUUGUCGCGUUGUUCGUGAAAACUCACAGCUCAACUGUGGGCGUGCGGGCGGUACGGGCAGACUGGAGUACUGCAGGGGAGACUGGAAUUCCUGGUGUAGCGGUGGAAUGCGCAGAUAUCAGGAGGAACACCGGUGGCGAAGGCGGGUCUCUGGGCAGUAACUGACGCUGAGGAGCGAAAGCGUGGGGAGCGAACAGG